Harpia harpyja (harpy eagle) is the source of this 394-nucleotide long non-coding RNA. RefSeq lists it as uncharacterized. NCBI's taxonomy places the organism in Eukaryota, Metazoa, Chordata, Aves, Accipitriformes, Accipitridae. The record is from RefSeq and is a predicted model, not a curated record. The transcript is spliced from 2 exons.
GCGGCUGCGGCGGGGCGGGCAGGGCCUCCUGCCUUCCCCCGGCCCCCCCCCGUGUGUGUGUGGGGGGGUGUCGUGCCGUGCCAGGGGCUGGCCCCCUUCCCGGCAGCCGGUGGGGGUUGUGGCUCGGCGCCGGCGACCCUCCUUCCCUCCCUCCCUCCGCGGUCACGCAAGAAGCGAAGAGGUAGCGAGCGACAGGCGCCGGGUUGCAUUGCAAGUAAGCCCUGUCCUGUCUGGGCUGGAUACCCAGCCCCAGGUGCACAGUAUGGCCACAGCAUCGGGCACGGACGCUUCCUGCUUCCAGAGACAUUUCUUCAGCCCUGUGUUUCAAAAAACCGUUCACAGCCCAUUAAAAAAAUGCCAUAAGUGUGCAAGAGUGAAUAAAUAAUUGCACCAA